GUGGGGAGAGCUCAGUGGUAGAGCAUGUGCUUAGCGUGUACAAGGUCCUGGGUUCAAUUCCCAGUACCUCCA
This 72-nucleotide transfer RNA is filed under the name Camelus bactrianus (Bactrian camel). It matches the Rfam family "tRNA". From Rfam's summary of the family: Transfer RNA (tRNA) molecules are approximately 80 nucleotides in length. Their secondary structure includes four short double-helical elements and three loops (D, anti-codon, and T loops). Lineage: Eukaryota; Metazoa; Chordata; Mammalia; Artiodactyla; Camelidae. The record is from Rfam by way of RNAcentral. RNAcentral also lists the same sequence under 1 other name.